GUGAGUCAUCGAAUCUUUGAACGCAAAUUGCACUCUCUGGUAUUCCGGGGAGUAUGCCUGUUUGAGGGUUGGUUUAAAUAACAAUCGAUAUGUUGCUUUUGUGACAUCUCGGAGUUGGGUUAUCUUAAUCUUUUAAGAGACCUAAAAUUGACAUACUUGUGCAUUUCGACGUGUAUAAUUUUUUUAUCUCGUCACCUAAUGCCAUGUUUUAUUAGGUGUGGCCAUUUUAAGUGGUUUCAUGCCUAUAAGAUUUUGAUUUCAACCUCAAAUCAGGUAAGAAUACCCGCUGAACUUAAGCAUAUCAAUAAGCGGAGG
Molecule: ribosomal RNA, 315 nt
Filed under: Glomus sp. 3458 JG-2015
Lineage: Eukaryota; Fungi; Glomeromycota; Glomeromycetes; Glomerales; Glomeraceae
Description: eukaryotic LSU rRNA
Rfam family: 5.8S ribosomal RNA (bases 1-71)
Source: RNAcentral